Molecule: ribosomal RNA, 253 nt
Filed under: uncultured bacterium
Lineage: Bacteria
Description: partial 16S ribosomal RNA
Rfam family: Bacterial small subunit ribosomal RNA
Source: RNAcentral
UCCAGAGGGUGCGAGCGUUAAUCGGAAUUACUGGGCGUAAGGCGCGCGUAGGCGGCUUUGCAAGCCGGAUGUGAAAUCCCCGGGCUUAACCUGGGAACUGCAUUCGGGACUGCAUUGCUAGAGUAUGGGAGAGGGAAGUGGAAUUUCAGGUGUAGCGGUGAAAUGCGUAGAUAUCUGAAGGAACAUCAGUGGCGAAAGCGACUUCCUGGACCAAUACUGACGCUCAUGUGCGAAAGCGUGGGGAGCAAACAGG